Molecule: transfer RNA, 66 nt
Filed under: Phryganopsyche latipennis
Lineage: Eukaryota; Metazoa; Arthropoda; Insecta; Trichoptera; Phryganopsychidae
Also listed under: 1 other name
Description: tRNA-Ser
Source: RNAcentral
AAUUAUUAAGCUUUGUAAUAGCAUUUGUUUUGAAAACUUAAAAAAGACUCCUAAGUCUAAUAAUUU